GACGAACGCUGGCGGCGUGCUUAACACAUGCAAGUCGAACGGAAAGGCCCUGCUUGCAGGGUACUCGAGUGGCGAACGGGUGAGUAACACGUGGGUGAUCUGCCCUGCACUUCGGGAUAAGCUUGGGAAACUGGGUCUAAUACCGGAUAGGAGCCAUCUUUAGUGUGGUGGUUGGAAAGUUUUUUCGGUGUAGGAUGAGCUCGCGGCCUAUCAGCUUGUUGGUGGGGUAAUGGCCUACCAAGGCGGCGACGGGUAGCCGGCCUGAGAGGGUGUACGGCCACAUUGGGACUGAGAUACGGCCCAGACUCCUACGGGAGGCAGCAGUGGGGAAUAUUGCACAAUGGGCGCAAGCCUGAUGCAGCGACGCCGCGUGGGGGAUGAAGGCCUUCGGGUUGUAAACUCCUUUCGCUAGGGACGAAGCUUUUUUGUGACGGUACCUAGCUAAGAAGCACCGGCUAACUACGUG
RNAcentral lists this ribosomal RNA (466 nucleotides) under uncultured bacterium. Its description in RNAcentral is "partial 16S ribosomal RNA". It matches the Rfam family "Bacterial small subunit ribosomal RNA", at positions 28 to 507 of the family's 1533-position model. The record is from RNAcentral.